GACGAACGCUGGCGGCGUGCCUAAUACAUGCAAGUAGAACGCACAGUUUAUACCGUAGCUUGCUACACCAUAGACUGUGAGUUGCGAACGGGUGAGUGACGCGUAGGUAACCUGCCUGGUAGCGGGGGAUAACUAUUGGAAACGAUAGCUAAUACCGCAUAAUAUUGAUUAUUGCAUGAUAAUUAAUUGAAAGGUGCAAUUGCACCACUACCAGAUGGACCUGCGUUGUAUUAGCUAGUAGGUGAGGUAACGGCUCACCUAGGCGACGAUACAUAGCCGACCUGAGAGGGUGAUCGGCCACACUGGGACUGAGACACGGCCCAGACUCCUACGGGAGGCAGCAGUAGGGAAUCUUCGGCAAUGGACGAAAGUCUGACCGAGCAACGCCGCGUGAGUGAAGAAGGUUUUCGGAUCGUAAAGCUCUGUUGUAAGAGAAGAACGGGUGUGAGAGUGGAAAGUUCACACUGUGACGGUAUCUUACCAGAAAGGGACGGCUAACUACGUG
This 505-nucleotide ribosomal RNA is filed under the name uncultured bacterium. RNAcentral's name for it is "partial 16S ribosomal RNA". It matches the Rfam family "Bacterial small subunit ribosomal RNA", at positions 28 to 507 of the family's 1533-position model. The record is from RNAcentral.